RNAcentral lists this transfer RNA (72 nucleotides) under Candidatus Omnitrophota bacterium. RNAcentral describes it as "tRNA-Arg". It matches the Rfam family "tRNA". From Rfam's summary of the family: Transfer RNA (tRNA) molecules are approximately 80 nucleotides in length. Their secondary structure includes four short double-helical elements and three loops (D, anti-codon, and T loops). Further hydrogen bonds mediate the characteristic L-shaped molecular structure. tRNAs have two regions of fundamental functional importance: the anti-codon, which is responsible for specific mRNA codon recognition, and the 3' end, to which the tRNAs corresponding amino acid is attached (by aminoacyl-tRNA synthetases). tRNAs cope with the degeneracy of the genetic code in two manners: having more than one tRNA (with a specific anti-codon) for a particular amino acid; and 'wobble' base-pairing, i.e. permitting non-standard base-pairing at the 3rd anti-codon position. The record is from RNAcentral. Lineage: Bacteria; Pseudomonadati; Candidatus Omnitrophota.
GCGCCUGUAGCGCAACGGAUAGCGCACUAGCCUCCGGAGCUAGUGGUGUGGGUUCGAUUCCCACCAGGCGCA